Molecule: ribosomal RNA, 527 nt
Filed under: uncultured bacterium
Lineage: Bacteria
Description: bacterial SSU rRNA
Rfam family: Bacterial small subunit ribosomal RNA
Source: RNAcentral
AAUAGAUACCCUGGUAGUCCACGCCGUAAACGAUGAGUGCUAAGUGUUAGAGGGUUUCCGCCCUUUAGUGCUGCAGCAAACGCAUUAAGCACUCCGCCUGGGGAGUACGACCGCAAGGCUGAAACUCAAAGGAAUUGACAGGGACCCGCACAAGCGGUGGAGCAUGUGGUUUAAUUCGAAGCAACGCGAAGAACCUUACCAGGUCUUGACAUCCUCUGACCAUCCUAGAGAUAGGACCUUCCCCUUCGGGGGACAGAGUGACAGGUGGUGCAUGGUUGUCGUCAGCUCGUGUCGUGAGAUGUUGGGUUAAGUCCCGCAACGAGCGCAACCCUUGUCCUUAGUUGCCAGCAUUCAGUUGGGCACUCUAAGGAGACUGCCGGUGACAAACCGGAGGAAGGUGGGGAUGACGUCAAAUCAUCAUGCCCCUUAUGACCUGGGCUACACACGUGCUACAAUGGAUGGUACAAAGGGCUGCGAAGCCGCGAGGUGGAGCCAAUCCCAUAAAACCAUUCUCAGUUCGGAUUGCG